Molecule: ribosomal RNA, 594 nt
Filed under: Ceratobranchia cf. delotaenia LBP3257-20042
Lineage: Eukaryota; Metazoa; Chordata; Actinopteri; Characiformes; Stevardiidae
Description: partial 16S large subunit ribosomal RNA
Rfam family: Bacterial large subunit ribosomal RNA
Source: RNAcentral
CAAAAACAUCGCCUCCUGCAAAAAUCAAUGUAUAAGAGGUCCUACCUGCCCAGUGACAUUAAGUUAAACGGCCGCGGUAUUUUGACCGUGCUAAGGUAGCGCAAUCACUUGUCUUUUAAAUGAAGACCUGUAUGAAUGGUGGAACGAGGGCUUAACUGUCUCCCUUUUCAGGUCAGUGAAAUUGAUCUGCCCGUGCAGAAGCGGACAUAGCAAUGCAAGACGAGAAGACCCUUUGGAGCUUAAGACGCAAGGUCAACUAUGUCAAAAAUCCCUAUCAAUGGAGAUAAAACAAAAUAUUAACUGGCCAAAGUCUUCGGUUGGGGCGACCGCGGGGGAAAGCAAAGCCCCCAUGUGGACUAGGGUAAAGCCUAAAACCAAGAGGAACACCUCUAAGUCACAGAACAUCUGACCAAAAGAUCCGGCACCUAAGCCGAUCAACGAACCAAGUUACCCUAGGGAUAACAGCGCAAUCCCCUCCAAGAGUCCAUAUCGACAAGGGGGUUUACGACCUCGAUGUUGGAUCAGGACAUCCUAAUGGUGCAGCCGCUAUUAAGGGUUCGUUUGUUCAACGAUUAAAGUCCUACGUGAUCUGAG